AUAAUUAUGUCACCUGAGGGUUAUUUUGGUUAAAGGUGUAUUGGACUGGGGUGGAGCAUUUUACUCUAGAAUCUGGACUAAGCUUAUGACCUUAAGUUUGUAUUCAAAUUGUUUUAAUUUAGGGUUUUAGCUGAUUUUCACUAGUAACUUGUACACUACAAACCAGUAACAGCUGUUAAAGGAAUCAGGAUAGAUGGUGAAACUGAAAGUCUCAGUACUGUACUCCAUCUAUUUAUAAUUAGCUCUGAUGUUUCUUCUCAUGGACAAUUAAUUUAGUUUUUGUUCAAUCGUUGUUUGAGAUGUUACCUCCAUAUAUAUUUGUUGAACUUAAACUAACCUCAGGUUAGAGGCGAUAUAGCAAGGGCAUUAAUGUACAUGGCAGUCUGUUAUGGGUUCCAACAACCAGGGGGAAGUCCAGGCCUUCGCCUCUCGGAUGCCCCAAACGUUGAAAACAGGGAGAUGGGACUUCUUUCCACUUUAU
Molecule: non-coding RNA, 481 nt
Organism: Cajanus cajan (pigeon pea)
Lineage: Eukaryota; Viridiplantae; Streptophyta; Magnoliopsida; Fabales; Fabaceae
Source: RefSeq, a predicted model, not a curated record